CAGUAGCCGCGGUAAUACAGAGGGUGCAAGCGUUAAUCGGAAUUACUGGGCGUAAAGAGCGCGUAGGUGGUUAGUUAAGUUGGAUGUGAAAUCCCCGGGCUCAACCUGGGAACUGCAUUCAAAACUGACUGACUAGAGUAUGGUAGAGGGUGGUGGAAUUUCCUGUGUAGCGGUGAAAUGCGUAGAUAUAGGAAGGAACACCAGUGGCGAAGGCGACCACCUGGACUGAUACUGACACUGAGGUGCGAAAGCGUGGGGAGCAAACAGGAUUAGAUACCCCUGUAGUCCCUGUCUCUUAUAC
This 301-nucleotide ribosomal RNA is filed under the name uncultured bacterium. RNAcentral's name for it is "partial 16S ribosomal RNA". It matches the Rfam family "Bacterial small subunit ribosomal RNA", at positions 509 to 807 of the family's 1533-position model. The record is from RNAcentral.